AAAAAAGAAAAAUAAAAGAAAGGGGGAGGGAGGCAGAUGAAAGGGGGAAAGGGGAAACUAGCAGAAGAAGAGAAGGUGUAGAGAAUAGCAAGAAGAAAGGGGUUGGUUCUCAUCAGGAAUUCAAGGUACUUAGAAGGGUUGUUUUAUAACCUAUAUGGAGUGCGCGCACUGAGACUUAGUGAUCAUCUUUUUUUCUUUUUUUUUCAGACGUUGUAUAAUCUUUUUGUGAAAAGUGUUUGUAUAUACAACAAUGAUCUUGUGUAUAUAUGACAAUAGAUCCUACUUUGAUCUUGUAUAUAAGUAAAUGGCUAGUUCUGGUUUUA
Long non-coding RNA from Rosa chinensis, 323 nucleotides. RefSeq lists it as uncharacterized. NCBI's taxonomy places the organism in Eukaryota, Viridiplantae, Streptophyta, Magnoliopsida, Rosales, Rosaceae. The transcript is spliced from 2 exons. The record is from RefSeq and is a predicted model, not a curated record.